AGUGGCGCACGGGUGAGUAACGCGUGGGUAAUCUACUUUUAAGACUGGGAUAACAUUUCGAAAGGGAUGCUAAUACCGGAUAAGACCACGAAGUCUUUGGACUAUGAGGUAAAAGGUGGCAGCUUGUCUGCUAUCGCUUAGAAAUGAGCCCGCGUACCAUUAGCUUGUUGGUAGGGUAAUGGCCUACCAAGGCUACGAUGGUUAGCUGGUCUGAGAGGAUGAUCAGCCACACUGGAACUGGAACACGGUCCAGACUCCUACGGGAGGCAGCAGUGGGGAAUUUUGCGCAAUGGGGGAAACCCUGACGCAGCAACGCCGCGUGAGUGAUGAAGGCCUUCGGGUUGUAAAGCUCUGUCAGUUAGGAAGAAAUGCCUAUGUUAACUGCAUAGGCUAUGACGGUACUAACAGAGGAAGCACCGGCUAACUCCGUGCCAGCAGCCGCGGUAAUACGGAGGGUGCAAGCGUUGUUCGGAUUUACUGGGCGUAAAGAGCGUGUAGGUGGCUUUAUAAGUCAGGUGUGAAAGCCCUCGGCUUAACCGGGGAAGUGCACUUGAAACUGUAAGGCUUGAGUACGGGAGAGGGAAGUGGAAUUCCUAGUGUAGAGGUGAAAUUCGUAGAUAUUAGGAAGAACACCGGUGGCGAAGGCGACUUCCUGGACCGAUACUGACACUGAGACGCGAAAGCGUGGGGAGCAAACAGGAUUAGAUACCCCGGUAGUCCACGCCGUAAACGAU
This 734-nucleotide ribosomal RNA is filed under the name uncultured bacterium. Its description in RNAcentral is "bacterial SSU rRNA". It matches the Rfam family "Bacterial small subunit ribosomal RNA", at positions 94 to 810 of the family's 1533-position model. The record is from RNAcentral.